RNAcentral lists this ribosomal RNA (166 nucleotides) under uncultured Syntrophaceae bacterium. RNAcentral describes it as "partial 16S ribosomal RNA". It matches the Rfam family "Bacterial small subunit ribosomal RNA", at positions 1218 to 1382 of the family's 1533-position model. The record is from RNAcentral. Lineage: Bacteria; Pseudomonadati; Thermodesulfobacteriota; Syntrophia; Syntrophales; Syntrophaceae.
ACACGUGCUACAAUGGGCGGUACAAAGAGAAGCAACCUCGCGAGGGUGAGCAAAUCUCAAAAAGACCGUUCUCAGUUCGGAUUGAAGUCUGCAACUCGACUUCAUGAAGUCGGAAUCGCUAGUAAUCGCGGAUCAGCAUGCCGCGGUGAAUACGUUCCCGGGCCUU